This is a non-coding RNA of Candoia aspera, 577 nucleotides long. The record is from the annotation of a RefSeq genome assembly. Lineage: Eukaryota; Metazoa; Chordata; Lepidosauria; Squamata; Candoiidae.
UCACUUUAGAAAGUGAUAGUCUUCUCAGAUGCUCACCAUGGCCUGGACUCUACUUUUCUUGGCAAUUCUUGGUGAUUUUUCAGGCGUGACAUCACAGCCCACCUUGACUCAGCCUGCCUCCCAGUCUGGAUCGCCAGGAGAAACCAUUAAACUCUCCUGUGCCAUCAGCAGCAGUCCAAACACCAUUGGCUGGGUUCAGCAGAGAUCUGGAGAGGCCCCUCGCUUUGUCCACUGUGAUGGCUGCAGCAGCAGGGGCCCAGGGAUCCCAGACCGAUUCACAGGGACCCAGUCGGGCAACAACGGCUACUUAACCAUCACCAGCCUUCAGGCUGAAGAUGAGGCUGACUAUUAUUGUUUCAUGUGGUACAGCAGUGGCAGCGUGUUCCACAGUGAGACAGACUGAUGGGGAACUGCGACAAAACCCUUCUGCCCCAGAGCAGAAACUCCAGAAUCAUUCUAGAUCUCUGGCUGAUCUGUAUUUGAUGCAACUCAAAUGAAAAUGGAGGAGGAAAUGGAAGGUCUUUUCCAUGCAGAGAAAAAGCCACAUAUCCAUCCCCUAGGGAAACCAUUACCAUUA